This 72-nucleotide transfer RNA is filed under the name Paenibacillus odorifer. RNAcentral's name for it is "tRNA-OTHER". It matches the Rfam family "tRNA". From Rfam's summary of the family: Transfer RNA (tRNA) molecules are approximately 80 nucleotides in length. Their secondary structure includes four short double-helical elements and three loops (D, anti-codon, and T loops). The record is from RNAcentral. Lineage: Bacteria; Bacillati; Bacillota; Bacilli; Caryophanales; Paenibacillaceae.
GUGGGGUUGGUGUAACGGUAGCACCUCGGCUGGGAACGGUCGAUAGUGGAGGUUCGAAUCCUCUUCUCCGCU